RNAcentral lists this non-coding RNA (148 nucleotides) under Chlorocebus sabaeus (green monkey). Lineage: Eukaryota; Metazoa; Chordata; Mammalia; Primates; Cercopithecidae. The record is from Rfam by way of RNAcentral.
GCCGGGCAUGGUGGCGGGUGCCUGUAAUCCCAACUGCCAGUGAGGCUGAGGCAGGAGAAUUGCUUGAGCCCGGGAGGCAGAGGUUGCAGUGAGCUGAGAUCCAGGCACUGCAUUCCAGCCUGGGCAACAGAGCGAGACUCUGUCUCAA